Molecule: ribosomal RNA, 491 nt
Filed under: uncultured bacterium
Lineage: Bacteria
Description: partial 16S ribosomal RNA
Rfam family: Bacterial small subunit ribosomal RNA
Source: RNAcentral
AGUGAACGCUGGCGGUAGGCCUAACACAUGCAAGUCGAACGGCAGCACAGUAAGAGCUUGCUCUUACGGGUGGCGAGUGGCGGACGGGUGAGGAAUACAUCGGAAUCUACUUUUUCGUGGGGGAUAACGUAGGGAAACUUACGCUAAUACCGCAUACGACCUACGGGUGAAAGCAGGGGAUCUUCGGACCUUGCGCGAUUGAAUGAGCCGAUGUCGGAUUAGCUAGUUGGCGGGGUAAAGGCCCACCAAGGCGACGAUCCGUAGCUGGUCUGAGAGGAUGAUCAGCCACACUGAACCUGGAACACGGUCCGACCUCCUCCGGGAGGCAGCAGUGGGGAAUAUUGGACAAUGGGCGCAGGCCUGAUCCCGCCAUCCCGCGUGGGUGAAGAAGGCCUUCGGGUUGUAAAGCCCUUUUGUUGGGAAAGAAAAGCAGCAGGUUAAUACCCCGCUGUUCUGACGGUACCCAAAGAAUAAGCACCGGCUAACUUCGU